This 485-nucleotide ribosomal RNA is filed under the name uncultured bacterium. RNAcentral describes it as "partial 16S ribosomal RNA". It matches the Rfam family "Bacterial small subunit ribosomal RNA", at positions 29 to 523 of the family's 1533-position model. The record is from RNAcentral.
AGUGAACGCUGGCGGCGUGCUUAACACAUGCAAGUCGAACGAGAACGGAAUAUAGCUUGCUAUAUUUGUCAGCUAAGUGGCGCACGGGUGAGUAAUGUAUAGAUAACCUGCCCUUAAGAAAGGAAUAACAGUUGGAAACGACUGCUAAUGCCCUAUAUGCCUUUAAUACAUAAGUAUGCAAGGGAAACGCUUUAGUGCUUAAGGAUGGGUCUGUAUGGUAUCAGCUUGUUGGUGAGGUAAUGGCUCACCAAGGCUAUGACGCCUAACUGGUUUGAGAGGAUGAUCAGUCACACUGGAACUGAGACACGGUCCAGACUCCUACGGGAGGCAGCAGUGGGGAAUAUUGCACAAUGGACGAAAGUCUGACGCAGCAACGCCGCGUGGAGGAUGACACAUUUCGGUGCGUAAACUCCUUUUAUAUAGGAAGAUAAUGACGGUACUAUAUGAAUAAGUACCGGCUAACUCCGUGCCAGCCGCCGCAGUAA